AGAGUUUGAUCCUGGCUCAGAACGAACGCUGGCGGCGUGGAUAAGACAUGCAAGUCGAGCGAGAUUUUUCGUUGUAGCAAUACGAUGGAAAGUCUAGCGGCGAACGGGUGCUUAACACGUGGGCAACCUGCCAUGAAGUGGGGGAUAGCUCGCCGAAAGGCGAAUUAAUACCGCAUGUGAUUAGAGAGGACAUCCUUUCGAAAUUAAAGUCGGGGCAACCUGACGCUUCUUGUGGGGCCCGCGGCCUAUCAGCUAGUUGGUGAGGUAACGGCUCACCAAGGCUUUGACGGGUAGCUGGUCUGAGAGGACGACCAGCCACACUGGGACUGAGACACGGCCCAGACACCUACGGGUGGCAGCAGUCGAGAAUUUUUGACAAUGGGGGAAACCCUGAUCGAGCGACGCCGCGUGGAGGAUGAAGGUCUUCGGAUUGUAAACUCCUGUCAUUUGGGAACAAGGUGCACACGUUAACUGCGUGUGCAUUGAUAGUACCAGAAGAGGAAGAGACGGCUAACUCUGUGCCAGCAGCCGCGGUAAUACAGAGGUCUCAAGCGUUGUUCGGAUUCAUUGGGCGUAAAGGGUGCGUAGGCGGCGCGGUAAGUCGGGUGUGAAAUCUCGGAGCUUAACUCCGAAACUGCAUUCGAUACUGCCGUGCUUGAGGACUGGAGAGGAGACUGGAAUUUACGGUGUAGCGGUGAAAUGCGUAGAUAUCGUAAGGAAGACCAGUGGCGAAGGCGGGUCUCUGGACAGUUCCUGACGCUGAGGCACGAAGGCCAGGGGAGCAAACGGGAUUAGAUACCCCAGUAGUCC
Molecule: ribosomal RNA, 810 nt
Filed under: uncultured bacterium
Lineage: Bacteria
Description: bacterial SSU rRNA
Rfam family: Bacterial small subunit ribosomal RNA
Source: RNAcentral